UACGUAGGGUGCAAGCGUUAAUCGGAAUUACUGGGCGUAAAGCGUGCGCAGGCGGCUUUGCAAGACAGAUGUGAAAUCCCCGGGCUUAACCUGGGAACUGCAUUUGUGACUGCAUGGCUGGAGUGCGGCAGAGGGGGAUGGAAUUCCGCGUGUAGCAGUGAAAUGCGUAGAUAUCAGAAGGAACAUCAGUGGCGAAGGCGGCUUCCUGGACCAAUACUGACGAUCAGGUGCGAAAGCGUGGGGAGCAAACAGG
This 253-nucleotide ribosomal RNA is filed under the name uncultured bacterium. Its description in RNAcentral is "partial 16S ribosomal RNA". It matches the Rfam family "Bacterial small subunit ribosomal RNA", at positions 524 to 776 of the family's 1533-position model. The record is from RNAcentral.